Molecule: ribosomal RNA, 440 nt
Filed under: uncultured bacterium
Lineage: Bacteria
Description: partial 16S ribosomal RNA
Rfam family: Bacterial small subunit ribosomal RNA
Source: RNAcentral
CCUACGGGAGGCAGCAGUGGGGAAUAUUGCACAAUGGGGGAGACCCUGAUGCAGCGAAGCCGCGUGAAGGAAGAAGUAUUUAGGUAUGUAAACUUCUAUCAGCAGGGAAGAAAAUGACGGUACCUGACUAAGAAGCCCCGGCUAACUACGUGACAGCAGCCGCGGUAAUACGUCGGGGGCAAGCGUUAUCCGGAUUUACUGGGUGUAAAGGGGGCGUAGGCGGGUUAGCAAGUCAGAAGUGAAAGCCGGGGGCUCAACUCCGGGACUGCUUUUGAAACUGUUGAACUAGAUUGCAGGAGAGGUAAGUGGAAUGCCUAGUGUAGCGGUGAAAUGCGUAGAUAUUAGGAGGAACACCAGUGGCGAAGGCGGCUUACUGGACUGUAAAUGACGCUGAGGCUCGAAAGCGUGGGGAGCAAACAGGAUUAGAUACCCUUGUAGUC